Molecule: ribosomal RNA, 480 nt
Filed under: uncultured bacterium
Lineage: Bacteria
Description: partial 16S ribosomal RNA
Rfam family: Bacterial small subunit ribosomal RNA
Source: RNAcentral
GACGAACGCUGGCGGCGCGCUUAACACAUGCCAGUCGAGCGAUGAAACUUUAACAGAACCCUUCGGGGCGAAGAUAAAGUGGAUUAGCGGCGGACGGGUGAGUAACACGUGAGUAACCUGCCUUAGACAUUGGGAUAGCCUCGGGAAACCGGGAUUAAUACCAAAUAAAAUCAUAAUGACACAUGUCAUAACGAUCAAAACUCCGGUGGUCUAAGAUGGACUCGCGUCCCAUUCGCUAGUUGGUAGAGUAAAAGCCUACCAAGGCGACGAUGGGUAGCCGGCCUGAGAGGGUGAACGGCCACAUUGGAACUGAGAAACGGUCCAAACUCCUACGGGAGGCAGCAGUGGGGAAUAUUGCACAAUGGAGGGAAAUCUGAUGCAGCGACGCCGCGUGAACGAAGAAGGCUUUCGAGUCGUAAAGUUCUUUUAUAUGGGAAGAUAAUGACGGUACCAUAAGAAAAAGCCCCGGCUAACUACGUG